UACGGAGGGGGCUAGCGUUGUUCGGAAUUACUGGGCGUAAAGCGCACGUAGGCGGCUUUGUAAGUUAGAGGUGAAAGCCCGGAGCUCAACUCCGGAACUGCCUUUAAGACUGCAUCGCUUGAAUCAUGGAGAGGUCAGUGGAAUUCCGAGUGUAGAGGUGAAAUUCGUAGAUAUUCGGAAGAACACCAGUGGCGAAGGCGGCUCACUGGACCGGCAUUGACGCUGAGGUGCGAAAGCGUGGGGAGCAAACAGG
Molecule: ribosomal RNA, 253 nt
Filed under: uncultured bacterium
Lineage: Bacteria
Description: partial 16S ribosomal RNA
Rfam family: Bacterial small subunit ribosomal RNA
Source: RNAcentral